RNAcentral lists this ribosomal RNA (324 nucleotides) under uncultured eukaryote. Its description in RNAcentral is "partial 18S ribosomal RNA". It matches the Rfam family "Eukaryotic small subunit ribosomal RNA", at positions 1470 to 1796 of the family's 1831-position model. The record is from RNAcentral.
CCCUUAGAUGCUCUGGGCCGCACGCGCGCUACACUGGUCGAUGCAACGAGUUUCUUUCCUUGGCCGACAGGCCUGGGCAAUCUUUGAACAUCGAUCGUGAUCGGGAUAGAUUCUUGUAAUUUUUGAUCUUAAACGAGGAAUUCCUAGUAAACGCAAGUCAUCAGCUUGCAUUGAUUACGUCCCUGCCCUUUGUACACACCGCCCGCCGCACCUACCGAUUGAAUGGUCCGGUGAAAUCUCCGGACUGGCGUGAGUCGGAGCAAUCUGACAAACGCCGGAAAGUUGAUUAAACCUUACCAUUUAGAGGAAGGUGAAGUCGUAACA